GACUCUCGACAACGGAUAUCUCGGCUCUCGCAUCGAUAAAGAACGUAGUGAAAUGCGAUACUUGGUGUGAAUUGCAGAAUCCCGUGAACCAUCGAGUCUUUGAACGCAAGUUGCGCCCGAAGCCGUUAGGCCGAGGGCACGUCUGCCUGGGCGUC
This 155-nucleotide ribosomal RNA is filed under the name Cornus hemsleyi. Its description in RNAcentral is "5.8S ribosomal RNA". It matches the Rfam family "5.8S ribosomal RNA". Rfam says of the family: 5.8S ribosomal RNA (5.8S rRNA) is a component of the large subunit of the eukaryotic ribosome. It is transcribed by RNA polymerase I as part of the 45S precursor that also contains 18S and 28S rRNA. Functionally, it is thought that 5.8S rRNA may be involved in ribosome translocation. Lineage: Eukaryota; Viridiplantae; Streptophyta; Magnoliopsida; Cornales; Cornaceae. The record is from RNAcentral.